GAGUCCCGCAAGCUGGCUGCCCAAAGAGGCUUGCUGGCGCCCUACGCCGGGUGCGAGGUGGAUCGUAGAGCGGGCAGCGGGUUGAUGGUUCCCCGGGGUUUGCCCUCCAAGCCCCAAAUCCUUGUCAGUCCACGGCUUUGACGGAGUUGCCCUUUGCGCACGACCCUCUUGGUUGUGCUAGCGGAUUUUGCCUCCAUUCUGGAUCUGGGAAAAUGUGUAAAGAGUGAAAGCUGAGCUGCCCGGAUCUGGACUUUUUCGCUCUCAAACGAGCCCCAGAAUAGAGUGAGAGGAAAGAAUAUGCAAUGGCUGUUUGCUUAGGAUCCAGAAUUUAUCAGCUCUCUGACCCUGGGCGGGUAACCUCUCCGAGCCUCAGUUUCUUCAUGAUGAAGUCAAGGUCCUUAAAGUCCCGAUCUGGGGAUUGUGGCGAGGAGUAAAGGCAAUGGAAAAAAUCCCUAUGCACUGUGCCUGCGCUGCACUAGUGGAAGACUACCUACUGUGGGCGCUGGCUAGGAUCUGUCAGAUGGUGCCUUCCCGUCCUCAGAAGAGAGCACUUUCAAGGCAGUCGCUGAUUAGUCAUCGUGAUAUCCAGGUACUAUACCAACAUUCCUGGCAUAUGACAGAAAAGAAAAAUGGUAGCAUUCAGGGGCGACCUGAGCGGGCUUCGAUGCAUCCAUCAUCUCCAUUGGCAAUGACACCUUCCGUUCUUUGAAG
This is a long non-coding RNA of Bos taurus (domestic cattle), 711 nucleotides long. The record is from Ensembl. Lineage: Eukaryota; Metazoa; Chordata; Mammalia; Artiodactyla; Bovidae.